GCAAACAAGAACAAAACCCUAAGGUUUGAUUUAUUGGAGGAGUCAUGGAUAAGAACAUGCUACAAGGUCUUGAGUCUACCUGAAGAAGACCAGAGGCGUAUGGCAGCCGUGAUCGAGCAGCUCCAAGUGCGAGACAGGUUGCUGAGAUAAGCGAAAAAUUGAAUGCCAACUUUUUCCAUUUGAGGAGGAUUUGAAGGAUAUCUAGACAGGAAAGAGAGAGCAAUGUGGUUACGCUGUGUAAAAUCAUUUUGCCACAUAGAUGAUUUGAGAAAAUCUUCUAAAUCUCCAUGGAUCUAUUUGUCUUUAUUCUCUUGUUCAGACGCUACUGACACAAAAGCAAAGUGUGCCCCUUUGCAGGAAACCAGAAUGAGAGAUAGGUUUACACUACAUGCUAAGGGAGGUGAUGGUGGCAAUGGUUGCUCCAGUUUUCGCCGAAGUCGACAUGAUCGCUGUGGCAGACCUGAUGGUGGAAAUGGUGGAAGAGGUGGUGAUGUGAUUUUGGAGUGUUCUCCUGUAAUCUGGGACUUUAGUGGUUUACACCAUCAUGUUAAUGCAGCCAGAGGGGGGAAUGGAGCUUCAAAGAGUAUGAUAGGAACUCGAGGAGAGGAUAAGGUUGUGCAAGUACCUGUCGGCACUGUAAUUCAUCUUUUGAAGGGUGAACUUCCAUCUACAGUCCAAAACUGUUCCAAAACAGACUUGGACCCGUGGGAACUUCCAGGCACUCUCCAUACCGAUCAAUCAGAAUCUCACUGGCAGUCUGUCUCUAAGAGCACAAACAUGGAAAAAGAAGCUGAGCCAUCAGAUAUUUCUUGUGGCUCAUUAACACAAGCUAAAGGAACUUCAGAGGAAUUUGCAAGCAAACAAGCCAUUCAAAGAGAGCCAGUAGGUGUGGAACAUAUACACUAUGAUGUUGCAGAGUUAACAAAACUGGGUCAGCAAAUAAUUGUUGCUCGUGGAGGGGAGGGUGGUUUGGGUAAUGUGUAUUCUCCUGAUGUUUCAAAGAAGGCCAAGUUAAGUAAGCCUGGAGUCAAUAGGGAUAUAGUCUUCGAUCGUGAUAUGUCCAGUGAGGAUCAAUCCUGCCUUAGCAGUGGGUUGCCUGGCUCAGAGGCUGUUCUUUUGCUGGAACUGAAAAGCAUUGCUGAUGUGGGCCUCGUUGGAAUGCCAAAUGCUGGUAAAAGUACUCUUUUAGGAGCUUUAUCCAGAGCAAAACCUAGGGUGGGUCAUUAUGCCUUCACGACUCUUAGGCCCAAUUUAGGAAAACUGAAGUUUGAUGACUUCUCAAUCACAGUGGCUGACAUUCCAGGACUCAUAAAAGGUGCUCACGAGAAUCGUGGACUUGGACAUGCUUUCCUACGGCACAUAGAACGUACUAAGGUUUUAGCUUAUGUGCUAGACUUGGCUGCUGGAUUAGAUGGCAGAAAGGGAUUUCCACCGUGGGAACAAUUGAAAGAUUUAGUUUUGGAGCUUGAGCAUCAUCAAGAGGGCCUGUCUGAUCGGCCCUCCUUAGUUGUGGCGAAUAAAAUUGAUGAGGCAGGGGCUGAUGAAGUAUAUGAAGAAUUGAAAAGAAGAGUUCAAGAUGUUCCUAUAUAUCCAGUUUGUGCUGUCCUGGAGGAAGGGGUACCAGAACUAAAAGCUGGUCUUAGAAUGCUUAUGGAUAGUGUGAAAUUGCAGAGACUUAGUUUAGAUAAAAUCGACUGUUCAUGACAAAUUUGAUAGGAAUACUAGUUCUGUUUAUGAUAGGUUUUACAAAAUAUUUAUGCCCAAUUGUCAAGUGAUAAGCCUCUUCGAAAUCCCUAAGAAAAUGUCUUGCUGCGGAGGAAACUGUGGCUGUGGCUCUGGAUGCAAGUGCGGCAGCGGCUGCAACGGCUGUGGCAUGUACCCUGACAUCUCAGAGAA
Molecule: RNA transcript, 1896 nt
Organism: Manihot esculenta (cassava)
Lineage: Eukaryota; Viridiplantae; Streptophyta; Magnoliopsida; Malpighiales; Euphorbiaceae
Gene name: probable GTP-binding protein OBGM, mitochondrial
Exons: 7
Source: RefSeq, a predicted model, not a curated record